This 442-nucleotide ribosomal RNA is filed under the name uncultured bacterium. Its description in RNAcentral is "partial 16S ribosomal RNA". It matches the Rfam family "Bacterial small subunit ribosomal RNA", at positions 338 to 795 of the family's 1533-position model. The record is from RNAcentral.
CCUACGGGAGGCAGCAGUGGGGAAUAUUGGGCAAUGGGCGCAAGCCUGACCCAGCAACGCCGCGUGAAGGAAGAAGGCUUUCGGGUUGUAAACUUCUUUUAAUGGGGAAGCGGAGCAGACGAUACCCCUUCAAUCAGCCACGGCUAACUACGUACCAGCAGCCGCGGUAAUACGUAGGUGGCAAGCGUUGUCCGGAUUUACUGGGUGUAAAGGGCGUGCAGCCGGGAGGACAAGUCAGAUGUGAAAUCCCGCGGCUCAACCGCGGAACUGCAUUUGAAACUGUUUUUCUUGAGUACCGGAGAGGUCAUCGGAAUUCCUUGUGUAGGGGUGAAAUGCGUAGAGAUAAGGAAGAACACCAGUGGCGAAGGCGGAUGACUGGACGGUAACUGACGGUGAGGCGCGAAAGCGUGGGGAGCAAACAGGAUUAGAUACCCGGGUAGUC